Daphnia pulex (common water flea) is the source of this 2713-nucleotide long non-coding RNA. RefSeq lists it as uncharacterized. The transcript is spliced from 3 exons. NCBI's taxonomy places the organism in Eukaryota, Metazoa, Arthropoda, Branchiopoda, Diplostraca, Daphniidae. The record is from RefSeq and is a predicted model, not a curated record.
CCUCGGCCUUCGGGUUGUAGCCUUUAUCUCUUCCACGCCUCUUCCGAGUCGCUAAUCACUUUGUUGGACUUUCCAUCCAUCGUGAUCGUCAAACAAAAACGCUGUUCCUUUCACAACCAAUCUACAUAAAGAAAAUUCUCCAGCGCUUCAACAUGGCCAACUGUCGUCCAAGAAACCUUCCAGCGGAGCCAGGUCACCAUCUGCAUAGAAAUGCAGAAAAAGGAAGACAAGAAGAGGCGAUGCCCUAUAGAGAAGCUGUUGGCUCUCUCAUGUAUCUAAUAAUGGCAACCAGGCCCGACAUUUCUUUCUCUGUAGGGCAAGUUUCACAAUUCUGUGAGGAUCCAGAGCCGAGCCACUGGGAAGCAGUGAAGCGAAAUUUGUCCUAUCUUCAAGAUACUUCAAGCCAUGGCAUUCCUUUUGGUCAAGGGACGGACGGACUCAAAGGCUUCACAGACUCCGACUACGCUGGAGAUGUCGUCUCCCGCCGCUCCACGACGGGUUUUAUUUUCCUUCCUCACGGAGGACCUGUCGGCUGGAGCAGUCGUCGCCAGUCAUCCGUCGCCCUCUCAAAAACCGAGUCGGAGUUCGUGGCCGCUUGUGAAGCAGCACGAGAAGGAGUCUGGCUUCAGCGCCUUUUAGUGGACAUAAAUCUUGGAUCGGAAAGGCCGCUCCGCAUCAUGUGUGACAAUCAGUCAGCUAUCCAGCUGAUAAGGUGUUUCAUCAGAGAACGAAACACAUAGAUGUCCGUUUCCACUACGUACGUGAGCUUCAGGAGAAAGGAGAUAUCAACGUAAUCUAUGUGUCAACUGACAAUCAGCUUGCAGAUCCGUUCACCAAGCCUUUGCCUAAUCCUCGAUUCUCAAUUCUGCGGGAGUUGGCUGGAAUUGUUCCAGUCCCGACUGAUCCCAACUAGUUUUUCUUCUAAUCCAAGAGGGGCAAGAACACUGUCAACAACAAAUAUAUAUUUUUUUUUCUUUUGGUUGUUAUGUUACAUGUGAUAAAGUUUUUUUUUUGUUUGGAUUCUGUUUUGGUUAUGUUUGAGGGGAGUGUUGAGAUUUUCAACAAACACGACCUUCACCGAGUGACCGCCAGAUCUAUGCGAAGAAAGGGAGGCAGGUCCUCGGCCUUCGGGUUGUAGCCUUUAUCUCUUCCUCAAUUCUUUUUCUUUUCUUCUGCUUCUGACCACGCUUAGUGAAUGGACACGAAGAGUUCGUUUAUUCUCUCUACAGAAAUAUCUGAUUGUUCUUUUUGAUUAAGUGUGCUUCAUUCCAUCUUCAACACCGGUAAUUAUUGUAAACUACUAUCUUAUAGUUUGUCAUGGCACAUCAUAUAUAUAUGUAAGUAUUGCUGCAUUGUGGAAACGUUAUCGUUUCACAAUUCUCUGUCUUUCCUGAUCAUCACGUGUGGACGUUGUGGUCACACGUUUAUCGUUAAUUCUAUGUAUGUGUGUAAAAGUGCCAUGAACAGUUUAUUCUCUUUUGCCUGGUCAUGCCAGAAACUCCACAAGUUGGAAUGAUUCAUUACAUACCCUGUGUUAAAAUCAAUACAGAAGCCUCGUUAACAGUGACAAAUCCUUGUAUAAUUUAAACAUUUACCACCAUUGAUUUUGCCAGAAGUUCUUGGACCCAUCUGCAAGAGAUGCGAAAGAAACACCUCAUCACUGUACGAUACGAAAAAGGGAUUGUGUCCUAGAUGUUUUAAUAAAGAUUCUUUGUUGAAUCCAGCUUCUCAAAUACCCAGUUAUUUGUACUUUGGUAAAGAAGAAAAGAGAGAAAGUUUAACCCUGGUCUUCACUUGUACACGACAUUCCGGAGGUGAUAAUUUCUCAAACGAAGAAAAAACUUUUAAAACUCUGGAAAUGUCAUGCAGACAAUCUCAAAGAAGUGACGGCCCAUUUGGAAUAGUUAACCGUCCUGGUUAUCCAACGACAAUUAAAUUUGUAGGAAGAUUUAGUGCACGAAACGCAUGCGCAAUGUCUCCUAUAUCGGAAAUGUCGGAUAUUAGGGGCACACAUAAAUGUGAUAUUCAACCACUUUGUUCCUUGCCAGAUCAUAUGAUCGGUAACUGCUUCCCGGGUGAUAUAGCAGUGAUUCUUGUUUCACAACCUGCUAGCCUAACUAUCGCUCCCUAAUAUAUGGCAACUUUUUUGUCUGAAAUAAUGUUGCGUGGCAUACCGGAAGACAGCUUCUACAUUUUGAUUAAAGUCUAUUUCACAACCCACUUUUUACUAUACUUUCUACUUUUAUUUUACUUAAUUCCUCAUUAUUUUCUAUAGAAACUGGUAGUUUAACUUCAAAAUACAUAAUUUAUUAUAUUAUACUUUUUUAUUAUACUUUUUACUUUACUUAAUGGCACAACUCCUCGGAUGAACACACACGCAUGAAGUUUGGUAUUGUACUGGUUGCAAAAAAAAAUUUAAGAACGUUGCAAAAUUAAUGCAACAUUGCCAUUUAGUACAAUAUUGAUUACAGUGAUAUAGACUAUUAAUGCUAUCCGAAAAUAACAACUCGUAUCCCAACGAUAUAGUCUUGGAUUAGUGAUCUAGAGGUUUGUGGUUCGGGCCUGCCUCAAACUUGAAACAAUAGGAUUUUAUUUUGUUAAUGGAGCAAAGUAAAAUAUCAUUAGUUUAAUAUCGGACUGUAGUUAAGUAACACUUAAAGAUUGCCAUAUGCUGCUCAAGUCUUUUUUUAUUUUUUGUAUGGAGGGAGACCCC